UGGAUGGCAUCAAUCAACCCACAAGAUGCUCAGAAGGAUAUCCACCAAAACCUAGUGGCUAAUACAUGGUCGAAGCAGUCUGCCUCGUUGUGUGAAUCUAUGGCUCUGUCAGUUUGGCUCUCUCUCAGCCUGUGGUUGAGGGUGCUAUCUCACUCAUGAUGGUGAUUGACACACCACACCAGCCACAGCUGUGGAGACCAAGCAUUGGAUGGCCUGAGCCUGUGGUGGAUUGCAACCAGCUGCAUUGAAGACGAGCACCCAUGUGUGUGUGUAACAGCACACAGUGGGUAGUGUGUGUAUGACUGUUGACUCAGGCUGGUCUUCAAGUGGUUUCAGUGAGGCAUCUCUCAAUGUGAUGUCUGAUUGAGUGUAUUGGCUGUGUCUGGACAACUGCAUUGGCAGAGUGGUGUCUCUCAACACCUGUGAGGCACAAAGCUAUGGCUUGCUUGAUCACACGAGCUUCUGACCUAUUAGCCUUUGACUGUGGUGUAUUGGCCCCCAGUGGCAGUGAUGGGUAACAGAGAAUCAGGGUUCUAUUCUGGAGAGGCAGCCUGAGAGAUGGCUACCAAGACCAAGGUCUGCAGCAGGCACGUAAAUUGCCCAAUGCUCAAGCAAUACUCAGUGAGGCAGCAACGAACUGCAGCAAUCCCUCUGACACUUCGUGGUCAGUGGGACUUGGAAUGGAUGCAAUGCAAACACAGUGAUGAGUAUCAACUGGAGGGCAAGUCUGGUGCCAGCAGCCGCGGUAAUUCCAGCUCCAUGGGUGUACACUGACAUUGCUGCUGUUAAAACACUUGUAGUCUGAUGCUGGGCUGUAGGUCUGUCACGAGGCCACCACAGGACCUGUGAGCCACUGUGACAUCCUCACAGCUGUCUCCUCGGCUUGUGGCUGGAAUCUACCUCUGACAGUAAGUCUUACACCCAUCUGCUGUGAAGCAAUAGAUGGCUGAUAGCACUCCUGCUUUCAAGUCUCCUUUGGUGGGGAUCGAUGCUGCUGUGUACACUCAACACAUGCCCAAAGCUUACAAUGCCAUAGGUCAGUCUCCCCAGCCAUGACUCUCUCAGCAGCCAUGGUGGAUCUUGUGAGACACUCUGACCCAGCCUCCGGAGUCAGCCAUCACAGUCACUGUGGAGAAAUCAGUGUGCAUCAAGCAGCCAACCAAUCAUCCUGUGGUAUGUGAAGCCUCUGACUGUACACAAAACCAUGUGCAUUGGAGUGUCUCUGCAAUGCCCUCGUGGCAGGAUGUCAGUCCAUGGAAUGACCAAGCAUUGACCUGAUGUGGCUGUGGAGUUGUGCUCUGGCCUUGGUGCCCAUAUGGGACAGUGUGGUGACAGUCUUGUUCCAUGGAUGGCUCAGCUGUGUGGGUUCCACAGCCUUGGUGGACUUGGCUCAAAUGUAUACCAACUGCCGAGGACUGGGGGCCUGCACUCUGAGUCAGCUGCGUGAAGCCCUGUACUGCCAUCUAUCAGCCAUGAUGGGACUGUUUGGAGUGAAGGAUACUGCAGCGCUAGCGGUGAAAUGCUCAGACCGUUGCAAGAUCAACGGCAGCGAAGGCGCUCUGCAAAGGCUUGUCUGUCGAUCAAGAAUGAGAGUGUGGGGAGCGAAGAUGAUCAGACACCGUUGUAGUCCACCACUGUAAACCAUGCCUGCUCAGCAUUGAAGCUGCAAGUCUCUCUUAGCUGACUGCUCCAUUGCUCCAUCCCCAGCAACGAGAAAUCCAAGCCUAUGGGUUCAUGGGGAAGUACUGUCACAAGGCUGAAACUUAAAGGAAUUGACGGAAUGGCACCACCAGGUGUGGAGUGUGCGGCUUAAUUUGACUCAACGCGGGGAAGCUUACCAGGCCAGGACGUUGCUUGGAUGGACAGAUUGAGAGCUCUUUCCUGAUUCCUUGGCUGGUGGUGCAUGGCCGCUCCUGAUUGGUGGAGUGAUUUGUCUGGUUGAUUCCGUUAACGAGUGAGAUCUCUGCCUUCCACUAAGCCCCAGCCAUGCAUUGAAGUAGAGCUCUGACCUGCAGUCUGUGAGACCUGUAAUGAGUUCCCUGUGGCCUGUAUGCAACGAUCACCUGUGGUUGGUGGCUCGAAUGGACUGAGUACUACAAGCUUCUCUGAGGUGCUGUGUGUGCUACCAAACACAUGCAUGCCAGAGCCAACAGCAGGUCUGUGAUGCUCCAAGAUGCCCUGGGCUGCACGCGCACUACAUUGGUCUGGUGAAUGAGUCCUCCUUUGGUCUGCUGUAGCAUCAAUCUACACAGACAUUGCCUGACUGGAAGUGGUUGGGAAAUCAUGCGAACCCAAUGGCCGUACUGGGGAUAGAUGCUUGCAACUGUCUGCCUUCAACGAGGAAUACCUAGUAAGCUCAGUCAUCAACUGAAUG
This 2374-nucleotide ribosomal RNA is filed under the name Phacus crassus. RNAcentral's name for it is "bacterial SSU rRNA". It matches the Rfam family "Eukaryotic small subunit ribosomal RNA", at positions 121 to 1640 of the family's 1831-position model. Lineage: Eukaryota; Euglenozoa; Euglenophyceae; Euglenales; Phacaceae. The record is from RNAcentral.